AGCAGCCGCGGUAAUUCCAGCUCCAAUAGCGUAUAUUAAAGUUGUUGCAGUUAAAAAGCUCGUAGUUGAAUUUCGGGAUCAAUACGUCGGUCGUGCUUCGGUACGUACUGGCGUCAUUGAUUUCUCCCUUCUGACGAACCAUGAUGUCAUUAACUUGGUGUCAUGGGAAAUCAGGACUGUUACUUUGAAAAAUUAGAGUGUUUAAAGCAGGCUCACGCUUGAAUACAUUAGCAUGGAAUAAUGAAAUAGGACGUUCGAUCCUAUUUUGUUGGUUUUAGGAUCAACGUAAUGAUUAAUAGGGAUAGUUGGGGGCAUUAGUAUUCAAUUGUCAGAGGUGAAAUUCUUGGAUUUAUUGAAGACUAACUACUGCGAAAGCAUUUGCCAAGGAUGUUUUCAUUAAUCAAGAACGAAAGUUAGGGGAUCGAAGACGAUCAGAUACCGUCGUAGUCU
RNAcentral lists this ribosomal RNA (450 nucleotides) under uncultured Glomeromycotina. RNAcentral describes it as "SSU rRNA". It matches the Rfam family "Eukaryotic small subunit ribosomal RNA", at positions 569 to 1026 of the family's 1831-position model. The record is from RNAcentral. Lineage: Eukaryota; Fungi; Glomeromycota.